CCCUUAGAUGUUCUGGGCCGCACGCGCGCUACACUGAUGCAUUCAACGAGCCUAUCCUUGACCGACAGGUCCGGGUAAUCUUUGAAUCUGCAUCGUGACGGGGAUAGAUUAUUGCAAUUAUUAAUCUUCAACGAGGAAUGCCUAGUAGGCGCAAGUCAUCAGCUUUCGUCGAUUACGUCCCUGCCCUUUGUACACACCGCCCGUCGCUCCUACCGAUUGGGUGUGCUGGUGAAAUGUUCGGAUCGGCCGUUUGUCGCGGUUUCCGCGUCAUGUGGCUGAGAAGUUCAUUAAACCCUCCCACCUAGAGGAAGGAGAAGUCGUAACA
RNAcentral lists this ribosomal RNA (325 nucleotides) under uncultured eukaryote. RNAcentral's name for it is "partial 18S ribosomal RNA". It matches the Rfam family "Eukaryotic small subunit ribosomal RNA", at positions 1470 to 1796 of the family's 1831-position model. The record is from RNAcentral.